GAUACAGUUAUUAAGGACUCACGGUGGAUGCCUUGGCACUAGAAGACAAAGAAGGACG
This 58-nucleotide ribosomal RNA is filed under the name Bacillus thuringiensis. RNAcentral's name for it is "partial 23S ribosomal RNA". Lineage: Bacteria; Bacillati; Bacillota; Bacilli; Caryophanales; Bacillaceae. The record is from RNAcentral.